Molecule: long non-coding RNA, 998 nt
Filed under: Equus caballus (horse)
Lineage: Eukaryota; Metazoa; Chordata; Mammalia; Perissodactyla; Equidae
Description: lncRNA (ENSECAG00000053733.1)
Source: RNAcentral
CCAAGAUUGAAAAUCUCUCUGAGGUGCUUGGUUGAAGGCUUCAACCAAGAACAUCCAGCAUCCAGAUAAAAAUAGAUAAGGAGAGACCAAAUGACCUCUUGAAGCAUGAAUUUAAGAAUGCUAUUCACUGCUACAACCUAUCAUUUGCUUUCCAUUUUCAUAAGAUUUUUCUGUAUUCAGACUCCAACUACCUAAAGGGUUUCUAUUCACUCCUCCAAAGUUUUCUCUAUAUAAUUGAAAUUAUUGCUGAGAAAAGCCAUGAUCAGACCACUCAUAUUGAUACUGACAAUCCCCCCAAAAGAAAAAGGCUGUGUUUAGCCCAGUGGACUCUAAACAGUGGCUCUCAAAGUGUGGUACCUGGACCAGAGCAUGAGCAUCACUUGGGAACUUGUUUGAAAUGAAUAUCGUCGACCCUCCAAAUGGGAAACUCUGGGAGUGGGCCCAAGCGAACCAGUCAUCUGUGUUUUAGCAAGUCCUCCAGGUGUCUGAUACACACUCGAGUUUGAGACUCUCUGCUCUAAACCAUCUCUUCUUGCGGGACCAGUGGCAAGUACCAUGACUGAGGAGAUGUUACAGACACACGAUGGCUCUAUCUAUCUCCACUGGAUAGUUUGAGCUACCUUAGACUCAUCCUACCUUGGGCUCCACAGAACAACUCUUAAAGCCAAGCAGCAGACCUAAGAAGUAAUCUGUCUUCCACGUCAGAACGUAGUCAGAUUGAAGUGUAGGACAUAGAGAUGAUGGUACAUUAACAUAUCAAGCCCCAGCACUGGCAGUGAGGGUGCAUGAGAAGUCUUCUUGGUGUGCAUCAUCUUUGAUUCAUCCAAGAACAUUUGAGUAGCAGUAACUGGUUAGACAAACGUAAGGAGAGUAGACAUUCACCUCUGUGGGGAGAAAAAGGAAUGUGACCUAUGCUCCUGGAAAAGGUUGAUCCUUCCAAUCUAUUUGGUAACAAGAGAAACUGCUGGAGAGUAAGUGGCACAUUUGCAUAGGGGCUG